Patella vulgata (common limpet) is the source of this 2012-nucleotide long non-coding RNA. RefSeq lists it as uncharacterized. The record is from RefSeq and is a predicted model, not a curated record. NCBI's taxonomy places the organism in Eukaryota, Metazoa, Mollusca, Gastropoda, Patellidae. The transcript has 3 exons.
UAACCACAAAACACAAGACCAGCAUAAUAUUGUCUACAGCGCUUAGAUCAUAGCCGUAAAUAGACGGGAUUUCCUUGUUGGAGAUUUUCCCGUUUGUCUCGCCCUUUCUGGUGAUUUGAAGGAUCAGAGUAGAAGAAAGUUGUGUUUAUUAAAUCUGUUACUAUAACAACAUCAUGAUGUCUGAUAUGUCACUUCAGCCAGUUGUCAACCAACAAAGUCUUAAUUUCCACCACCCUUGUAAUGUACAAAUAGGUGAGCACAACAUACAAAUUCAACCAACCAAGCAACUAAAAGAAGAUAAUGAUAGGAUGAAGAAUGAAAUACAACAACUCCAAUUAGACAAACAGAGGCAGACUGACGAGAUACAGAGACUCAAGUCAAGGGUUAAAGUUGUGGAAGAUAAAACAGGAGUCAAGAAAGUAAAUAAAAAUAUAAAUAAAGAAAAGGAUGCUAUGAUAACUCUUACUGUAAAGGGUCUUGGUGGUGAUGUCAUUAUAAGUGUUAGUAGAGAUAAAACUGUUAAAAAGUUAGAAGAGAUACUACAGGAGAAGUAUAGAAGAAAGUGUGGUAGAGAUGAUGUUGAUCUUUAUAUUAUUAGUAUCUACAGUGUAAAACAGGAUAAGGACAUUUACAGGUACAACAACAAAAAAAAUCUACCAUUGUCGUAUUACGGUGUAGAAGCCGGUGAUAAAGUCUGGUUGUAGUAGUCUUAAAAAAAUACAACACAAUUCAUGUGGAAAACAAUCUCAGGUUUAUACAUACUGUGCACAGCAGUCCAUCUACUUCAUACCUCGAGAAUACAUCACUGCCCUAAAUGACGUCCAUUUAAAACGCUCACGUGAUCAUUUUGGGGUGGGGCUUAUCGACUGGUACUUGUUUCUAUAACCGAAGCACGUGAUUUAUGUAAACAAAUAUGUCAAGUUAACAAAGUGUCGAUAUCUGCUACUCCGGUAAAAGAGAUAUAUAAUAUGUGCUAAUGGGUAAUAUUGCAAUACAGUCUUUAUCUUUGUAAACUGCCUUCUGUUUUUCUUUCAAAACAAGGUUAGAUACUCCAAAAUUUGUCUUCUCUGAACGUAUCUUUCAUGGGUGCCGCCAUAUUGAAUUAUUAGUGGACUAUUUCGUGAUACGGCUCAGAUGUGUUUGACACCUUUCAUACACUCAACGACUAAAUAAACAUAUUAAAUUUCAUUCAGUAUGAAAAUAGAAGAGAAAUAAAUACUUCUAAAAAUUUCUAAACGCAUACUCAGUGUUUUUGACUAUAAUCGUCGAUGUAGGAAUUAAAAUGUCGGUUAAUUAGGUUAGGGCCUGUUCUCAGGCGGAGCUAGCUAUAGACAGGCAGCCUAAGUUUGGGAUGUGGUUUAUACACAUAUAGCACAACGUUUCGACACAUAUUCUCUUAUCGUUUUCAAGUGCAAAUGAUAGGAGAAUACUUGUCGAAACCUCGUGCUAUAUGUGUAUAAACGAGUGACUGUAUUCCAUAUAAAUUGUGUUGUGUUUUUUUAAUGUGCUUAGUUGCUAAAACCACUCAAGGAUUGUAGUAGUCUGUUUGAUUACAUUGAGUUAAAAUGGUAUUAAAAUCAUACAUUCUUACUAUAAAACAAUUUUAAACAAUAUAUAAACCUGUUGGUGGUGGUGAUAUAGGCCUAGUGGUGUGCGAAGUGACAAAUUAAUUAUAUUGUAUGUGUUGUGUAUAUAAUUAUGGUGGUGUUACAGGCCUGGUGAUGGGUUAAGUAUAACAAAUUAUUUAUAUUGUAUGUGUUGUGUGUAUAAUUAUAAUAAAUAUGUACCAUUAUCAUUAUAUCAGAUUAAUUACGUGUUGUGUAUAUAAUUAUAAUAAAUAUGUACCAUUAUCAUCUUACUAUAAAAUAGUAUUAAACGGUCAACUUGAACAUAUUAUGGUGGUGAUACAGGCCUAGUGAUGGGUAAAGUAACUAAUAAAUUAUAAUGUAUGUACUGUUGUGUAUAUAAUCAAAAAAGACUGUGAAUAAUAAACUUUCACCAUUAUCAUAUUA